Molecule: long non-coding RNA, 4169 nt
Organism: Poecile atricapillus (Black-capped chickadee)
Lineage: Eukaryota; Metazoa; Chordata; Aves; Passeriformes; Paridae
Exons: 5
Source: RefSeq, a predicted model, not a curated record
CGGAGGAGAGGAGGGAACGGAGGAGAAGAGGAGGAGCUGAAGCCCCGGAAGUGCUCAGGGACGGGCCAUGGCCGUACAGCGAUAUGGCGGCGCCCGCGAUCUGUGUCUCCUUUGCACACCCUGGUGGUGUCACUCACAGUACUUCUGUCACAUCUACUGAAGACUGUUACAGUAUUUCUACUUUUGCUGCCACGCCCUCAUCAAGCGAUGGUCCUCCUUUUGAUCCCGGAGAUGCCAUAGAAGCAGAAGAAAGAUGAAAGGAAAUGUCUAUUCAACCAAGGUGAACUGGAUGCUUUGGAAUACCAUUCAAAUUUGUCUGUUCAACAAACUCAAUCAGCUGAGGACAAUAUGAGCUGUUUGUACACGGAUCUAGCAAGACAAGAUAAAAGAAGAAUAUCUUCUGCAAGUUAUAUUCAUUUCUGAAAUGAAAGGGGAGAACACCCAGCUGUAAUCUUAAUCCUUGAGAGAGAAACAGUUUUACCAGCUGAGUUGAAGCAGGGGCUGUGGCUGUGGAGCUGAGGUCCUCACACGAAGCACUGAUGAAAGCGUUGCUGGUCAACAUCACUGCAGGAUGUUGGGCUGCUUCCCUGUGCUGACAGGACACUGCUGGCUCCAGAUGCGAGCUGGGUCUUCUUAUAGAUACAUAUUGUAUUGUUGGCUUUUUGCAAAUAUUAAAAUGAAUGUUAUGUGCAUAAGAUUGGAAAAUUUUGUUGUAUUAAUAUAGUUUCCUUUAUUUCUGUUAUUGAUGAAACUUAGAUAUAGUGGUAUAAUACAUAUAUGUUGGGCUAUGGCAUAGUAUUAAAACAAAAACUACUUUUGUUUGUAUAACCCAAAGACUGAGAAAAAAUAGCUAGAGAACCCCUGCAUUCGUAAACUAUCUUAUCCAGAUGAAGACAGCAGUGACCAGAACUCUGGGGGAGGAAUUUAUUGCAUUUCUGUUAUCAGGGAAUGUAAAUCUCAAUGGCGCCAAUAAGAUUGAUCUAUUGGGAAGGGGGCAAGAGAAAACUAAACAAAAGAACACCAAAGAUCCUAAGAAGAAUGUCUGAAUAUGUAUGAGAAUUUAUGGAUAUGUAGUAGGGUUCUGUUUUUAAGGGACAAUCCUUUGUUAGCAAGGGGUGCUCUCUUGGCUGAAUGCAGAGACACCCGGCCGUAUCUGUGUACUUUAUUUUUAUCUCCCAGUUGUCUUUUUAUUAAACUUUUGAAUUCUAUAAGAAAAAUAUGUGAACCUUGUUUUUCACAGUGGUCAGCUACUGUUAGUGGUGUUACAGUGUUAUUUCUCUGUCAAGGAGCAUUUCUGUGUAUACUGUACAGAGGUGUAAGAGAUAGGGGUAGACAAUCAAGAUACUUUACAUAUUAUGUUCUUACAGUUUUUCAAACCCUUAAAUAGUUCCUACAGCCAUGUUUUACUUCUCUGUAAGCUGCUUGGAACUUGCUGGAAGUGGCAGGCUCCAAGCAGGGCCACCAGGUUAGAGGCUUGUUCACAGCUCAUUCAGCAGUUACUGGGUUGGUUCUUCCCUUUACAAAUGUGCCAGAUUCAGGGGCCCAAAUUAGGUAUUUAACUACAGGGUGUGAGUAUGAAACCUUUUUCUGGCAUGCCAGAUUUCAUGGAAUUGGCUGUGUGAUGGAAUAUAGUCAACCUGUGGUGCUUGGAAAGAUUUGUCUCAUGGUUGAUAGUGCCUCUCAGAAAGAGACUAUGCAUUAAUAAGACUUGUUAGUCUUUCUAAAACUGUAACUUUAACGAAUGCUGGCUGUUGUAUUUACCCAUUUAUGUCUCACUGUAAAUCAAUUUAGAAUUAUUCAGAUACUUAAAGCAAACUCAGACCUCUCUAGUUUGUCUACGACAGAAAUGGAGACUGGUGAGUCAGUAAGGGAAAUCAGCUCAUUUUCUUCAUGUAAUGUAUUUUAGCAGAACCACAUUACAUUAUCCUGAUUUGUGAUGAGUGAUUUCAAAGUCUGAAGUAGACUGUGAGGAGUAUAAAAUCCUUCUUAUUUAUAAUUUUGUUCUGCACUGAUAUUCAGUAAAGCUUAAUAUUCAUUACAGUUCCUCCCUGAAAAGGAUGCAAGUUGUGUUGCUGGUUUAGCACCAUUUUUCAGCUGAAGUUUUAGGCAGAAGGGUGAUAAUGUCUGUGCAUGCAACAAAAUUGAUGCUGUGUUGCAGAACUUGUUUUGGCAACAUCAAAUAAGGGUGAAUUUCUAUCUGCUUUAAUUCUCCUAAGUUAAAGGAGAGAAGACAGAAAGAGUUAAACAUUAAGGUAGUAUUUAUUUCGUACUUAUAAACUAGUAGACAAACUUUUUCAGAUUCAUACUUGGAAAAAGAAAUUGCUUUAGUGGAAAAGUUCUAUAUUGAGUAAAUACCAAAAAAAUAAUCUGUUUGCUGAGAAAAUAAAUUAUACGACAGAAACGAAAUCAGUUCCUAGUAUUUCUCUUCUGUCUGAGGGGUGUCUGACAGGACCUAUAUUCUUUCUUGCCCAUGACUAAAGCACAAAAUGAAAUAUUUUCUUGUCUUUCAUGGCAAAUAUGUAGUCUUGGAUUCUUGUUAUUUUAUUACCUUAUCUGAGCUGUGCUGGCUUUGCGACCUUUUCCCUGCAGCCACCAUCUUUGCACAGCUCAGCUGAGCUGUUUUGGCUGAGCCAGGAAGGAAAACGAAGCAGAGACUCUUAACCUUUUUCUCAUACAACUACGACGGGGAGUGUCCUUGCUAUCCCACUUUGGUUGCUGUGUUGGAUGGAAAGGAUGGGUACAGAUCCUAAAACAGCAUUGCCACACUUCAAUCAAAUUCAAAGUGGGUUCUCCUCAGAGAUGCAAGUAGCUGAGGUCUAAAUUCAUAUAAAUGUGGUAGUCUCUAUUAUGUCUUAUAUUUACCUAGGCACAUAGAAGAGUUGCAUAAAAUAACAUUUAAAAAUAAAUAAUUGGUUCAUCUAUUCUUGUCUACAUUGUGGGGCUAGCUGGUAACACUGUAAUUAUCUCAUGCAUAAAAAGCCUGAUUUCAGAUCAUUACACUUUUUCAGCCCUGGUAUAAUGCACAAGACCUAUCAUGAUUAAAUUAUGGGACUAGAUUAAAUGUGAAAUGCAAACUUGUAAAGGAAUUGGCUAGCUCUGUACAGGGGCAUCAUUUUAUUAAUCUGAAAGCAUAAUAAACCUUUAACUUCUACAGUACAAAUGCAUCUGCAUAAUUGCUUACUGCUGUUGGGUAUUUUUCUUCAACAAAGCCAAUAAUUCUAGAAUGCCUAAAUAAUGGAGCUUUUACAUUGUUAAAAGGAAGGUUACAAUAAGGUUUGUCAUGGUCUUAGUUGUAUUUUGAACUCAGGGUCUAAAAUGUACUGUUUCUCAUAGGAAUAAUGGGAAAAUUUUUAAUAUACUUCAAGGACUGUAUUAUUCAUAUAUUCUUUGUUUGAUUUUUUUCCCUUAUUUUCUCAUUAAAACAAAGGCCAGAUUUUUUUCAGUUCUGUAGUGUUUUUUCUCUUAGAACUGCCAUUUUUUAUUAAAUCUAGGUAUCCUUUCCAUUAGGCUCACAGACGUGCUAGGGUUUAACAACACAAAUGUGUAUGAUUUCUCUUUAAGUUGGUUGCUAUUAGUCAUGUGAGUAUUUAGCAACUAAUUAUCAGUGUAAUAGGUAGCAGGUUUUUUUCUCAUGGAAUUUCCUACUAGGAACGAAUAAUGCAGGGAAUAAUGGGGGUAAAACCAACAGCUUUAUCUUGGAUUCCAUAAUUUUUUUGCUUCACUUAGGUUUGCCUGUUGUACUUUCCAGUUAUUUAAUAGAGAUAAUUAUUGUAGUGCUCUUGAAUGACGAGAGCCAUAAUAUAUAAUUUAGUAUUUUACUUCGAAGUGGCUUUUGUGUUGCCAAAGUGCCAUAAGGGAAAGCAAAUCCACUGUAGGAAUAAGGAACACGGAGGCUGAUGUUACAAGAGAUUACAUGGCUGUUCCUAUUCUCAGCAAACAAAGAAAAUCCUGUUCAAAUGACUGAGUUUUCAAAUUAAGGAGAACUGAGUCUUCUGUUUUAUAACUAAAUGCACCACAGUGUUAUGACUGGAACACUGGAAAGAGGAAAGCAGCCAGCAGUAGAUGAAGAUGUGUGUCAUGAAUCCACUGGGUUGAGAAUAGCCUGAGUGAAUUUAUUCUUUUUCUUGGAACAAUGUGAAAUAAACAGGGAGCUGCUUAAUAAAAAUCCA